UUUCAUUACAUUUUCUUCAAUCAGAUUUCUGAUUGAUGAAUCUUUCAAAUCUGGUUGAGAUUUGGAUGUUUGUUUCAUUUGUUGGAUGAUUUAAACGAUGAUUGCAGAUCCGAAUUUGGUUUACUACUCUUGUGUUGCCAAAGGAACAACUAUCCUUGCUGAGAUCAAUUCAAAAGAUGCCGAUCUUGGAUCCCUAGCUUUGAAAUGCCUUGAAAAGACUCCUCCUUUGCAUACCUUCUUCUCUCAUACUAUCCGAAACAGGACAUACACGUUCCUGAUUGAAAACCCAUAUGUGUUUUUCGCCAUAUUCGAUGAAAAAAUUGACAAAUCGGAUGGUCUUGCGUUUCUCAAAGGGGUUGAAGAGGCGUUUCGUGGAGUAAUUGAGAGAUCUUCUGGGAAGAAGCGUUUGGAUAAAUUGAAUUCGCAUUGCUUUCAGGGAGAGUUGAAUCCUGUUUUUCAUCAGCUGUUGGAUUCAAAUUUUGGUGUGGAUGAGGGUUCUAAUUCCCCUAGGAGUGAGCUGGAUCAUGGACGAAGCACGAGUUUGGAUUCUGUUAAAGGGAAGAAAAUUGGGUCAAUGCCAUUGCUUGCUGAUGCUGCGAGUAGCUUGAAGCUAAAAAAGAAGAGGCUUUUCGGUCAGUUUAAGAAGAGGAAUGAUGAGAUGUGUGAGAAGAGAGUUGAUGUUUCGGAUGAUGGGAUCAGAUUGAGCAGAGAUUUUUCAGUUACUAUGCAAAAGAAUGGAUUGAUUCAUGGAGAAGGAGGGCAUCAAAAAGCUAAGAAAGUUUGGAAGAAACAAGUUUGGGUUGUCUUGUCAUUGGAUUUAAUAGUCUGCACCAUUUUGUUCAUAGUUUGGUUGUGUGUUUGCAGGGGCUUCAAAUGCAUCGAUGCUUGAUUGAAAUUUGAUACUACUUGUGUUGUGUGUUUUUGCAUCUAUCGCUACGAAUAGAUGUUUUCCACUGAAUUCGAUACAUUGCACUCUGGAAGAUGAUUAAAUUACUUCAUGUGUUCACCGUUGUCACUCGAGCUACUUCUGUCAAAUUUGAAGUCUUUUUUUCUCAGUAUGGGGCCGAUUUGAUGUGUUUCUAAGAAACUUUUUAUUAAUGUGAUGUUUUUAAG
This 1113-nucleotide unclassified non-coding RNA is filed under the name Hevea brasiliensis (rubber tree). Lineage: Eukaryota; Viridiplantae; Streptophyta; Magnoliopsida; Malpighiales; Euphorbiaceae. The record is from RNAcentral.